GGAGUGCACCUGGAGAGCCAAGUACAUGUAAAUUUGGCCAAAGGAGACUUCGGGGCCCAGAGCGUUCCUGUCACCAAAGUCUGCCCUGGCUUCUGCAGAACUUUGGUCAUCUAGGUGAGGGACCACAGGCCAGCCAGCUGUUCCCUCCAGACGUCUCCGGAAACCUCUGAGCCCCUUGGAAGGUAACAAACUCAGACCAAGGAUUUGGUCUUUGCCUGUUGGAUGGCCAGGAAAUAACAGCUUUGAAGAGGCUGCUCAAGGUGGUGAGAGAAAGACCUAUAGCCCCUUCCCUGACCCCAAACCACCAUUUUUUGGCUAUUACAAGAUAAUUAAUGAGUGACUUAUUUGUAUGCUGCAUACUAUUUUUUGUUGCUAUACAUUUUAAUUUCCAAUGUUAUUUUGGGUGACUUAAAGGAAGUUACUGGGAAAGAAAGCUUUGGCUUGACAUAUAGAAACUGCUACUUAACCUAUACAGAAUAGGAAUAUGGGCUUUGGAGAGGACAGAACAGGUUUGUCAGAGUGCGAAUUCUCUCACUCAUGAAAGUUAAAAUGUAAUGAAUAAACAUUCUUAAUGGGGAUAAGUGAAUCA
RNAcentral lists this long non-coding RNA (589 nucleotides) under Piliocolobus tephrosceles (Ugandan red Colobus). Its description in RNAcentral is "lncRNA (ENSPTEG00000028464.1)". The record is from RNAcentral. Lineage: Eukaryota; Metazoa; Chordata; Mammalia; Primates; Cercopithecidae.